AGGACUAACGCUGGCGGCGUGCCUAACACAUGCAAGUCGAACGAGGUAGCAAUACCUAGUGGCAGACGGGUGAGUAACGCGUAGAUAAUGUGCCCUCUUGCGGGGGAUACCGUUUCGAAAGGAACGUUAAUACCGCAUAAUACGGCUUCGAGGCAUCUCGAGGCCGUCAAACUUCCGGGGCGGGAGGAGCAGUCUGCGUUCUAUCAGCUAGUUGGUAAGGUAAUGGCUUACCAAGGCUACGACGGAUAACUGGUCUGAGAGGAUGAUCAGUCACACUGGAACUGAGACACGGUCCAGACUCCUACGGGAGGCAGCAGUGAGGAAUAUUGCGCAAUGGGGGAAACCCUGACGCAGCGACGCCGCGUGGAGGAAGAAGGUUUUCGGAUUGUAAACUCCUGUCAGUUGGGAAGAGAAUGGACGGUACCAACUGAGGAGCUUCGGCUAACUACGUGCCAGCAGCCGC
RNAcentral lists this ribosomal RNA (463 nucleotides) under uncultured bacterium. RNAcentral describes it as "SSU rRNA". It matches the Rfam family "Bacterial small subunit ribosomal RNA", at positions 26 to 518 of the family's 1533-position model. The record is from RNAcentral.